This 220-nucleotide unclassified non-coding RNA is filed under the name Hevea brasiliensis (rubber tree). Lineage: Eukaryota; Viridiplantae; Streptophyta; Magnoliopsida; Malpighiales; Euphorbiaceae. The record is from RNAcentral.
ACGAGGGAAAAGGGUAUCGAAGUAAUACUGUCCAAGGAGCAAAUCACGAACAUAAACACCCAUUGUAGCCAUACGUCCAUGGGAUCCUGGUGAAAAUUCCUCUUCAUCUUUAACAUACGGUUCAAACCAAUUCCAGAGAGUCUUUGGGUCUGCAACAUAUCUCAAGUAGAGAAAUCCAAUCGCUCUGAUGUAAGGAGAAUCCUCAUGCUUUAAUAGCCCA